This 253-nucleotide ribosomal RNA is filed under the name uncultured bacterium. RNAcentral's name for it is "partial 16S ribosomal RNA". It matches the Rfam family "Bacterial small subunit ribosomal RNA", at positions 524 to 776 of the family's 1533-position model. The record is from RNAcentral.
UACGGAGGGUGCGAGCGUUAAUCGGAAUAACUGGGCGUAAAGGGCACGCAGGCGGUUUUUUAAGGGAGGUGUGAAAUCCCCGGGCUUAACCUGGGAAUAGCAUUUCAGACUGGGAGACUAGAGUACUUUAGGGAGGGGUAGAAUUCCACGUGUAGCGGUGAAAUGCGUAGAGAUGUGGAGGAAUACCGAAGGCGAAGGCAGCCCCCUGGGAAAGUACUGACGCUCAUGUGCGAAAGCGUGGGGAGCAAACAGG